GUUCUGGAGGCCAUCUCUUCCACGGGAAGCAGGCUUCUCUGGUGGCCAACUCUCCACAAGGACAGAUGUCUUAUCUGCUGACCCACAUCCUAGCCUCUAGCCAGGGAGAACAGCGAGCUCAGAGCAAGGCCAAGCCAGAUAAAACAAGAAGACAGAUGGAAGGUGGUGCUCUGAACUCACUCGGAGCUCCAGCUGUGUGAUCUGAAGCAAGCUUCCCAACCCACAGUGUGUGAUCUGAAGCAAGCGUCCCAACCCACAGUGUGUGAUCUGAAGCAAGCGUCCCAACCCACAGUGUGUGAUCUGAAGCAAGUGUCCCAACCCACAGUGUCAUCGGUUCUUGAUGCUCCAGUGUUGCAACUGUUUUUGAAGACUCCUGUCACAAACUUCCACAUUAACUUCUUGCUUCGGGGAAGCAGAAGUAGCAAACAGAGACCCUGUCAGGGUCCCCGAGCCCAGAGGGGGAGACGCGGGGGCCGAAGCAGCUGCAGGCCUGGCUACUUCGCUGGGUUCGGUGGGCGGCACCUUACCCCCGAGCACGGCUUUUGUCCACCUGUAAAGUGGAGGUCAUUCACAAGGGGAAAGCGGACUUGUGAUGGGAAGGAAAUAAUUGACAAGUCAGCUCUUCUAACCCAUUAGUUUUUUUCUGUCAAAACAAUGUUCCUCGGGGUGCCUGGGUGGCUCAGUCGUGGGAUCGAGCCCCGCGUAGGGCUCCCUGCUCAGCAGGAAGCCUGCUUCUCCCUCUCCCACUCCCCCUGCUUGUGUUCCCUCUCUCACUGUGUCUCUGUCAAAUAAUAAAUCU
Mirounga angustirostris (Northern elephant seal) is the source of this 799-nucleotide long non-coding RNA. RefSeq lists it as uncharacterized. Lineage: Eukaryota; Metazoa; Chordata; Mammalia; Carnivora; Phocidae. The transcript has 3 exons. The record is from RefSeq and is a predicted model, not a curated record.